Molecule: small RNA, 83 nt
Organism: Flavobacterium sp. FPG59
Lineage: Bacteria; Pseudomonadati; Bacteroidota; Flavobacteriia; Flavobacteriales; Flavobacteriaceae
Rfam family: Flavo-1 RNA
Source: Rfam
UUUUAGCCCCGAUUGCAACGGAAAUCCUUUUUUAUCCGCUUCUUUAGCGGGAAAAAAGAUUGCAGUGAAAAGCGGGAAAUAGC